This 101-nucleotide non-coding RNA is filed under the name Pectinophora gossypiella (pink bollworm). The record is from RNAcentral. Lineage: Eukaryota; Metazoa; Arthropoda; Insecta; Lepidoptera; Gelechiidae.
GUGUCUAUUGAAAGGAGAGAAGGUUAGCACUCCCCUUGACAAGGAUGGAACACAUCAAAACGGUGAAGGCACGCUUUAAAGACGUUAUGCAAUAAAUAUAU